RNAcentral lists this ribosomal RNA (488 nucleotides) under uncultured bacterium. RNAcentral's name for it is "bacterial SSU rRNA". It matches the Rfam family "Bacterial small subunit ribosomal RNA", at positions 30 to 504 of the family's 1533-position model. The record is from RNAcentral.
CGAACGUUAGCGGCGCGCCUAACACAUGCAAGUCGAACGAGAAAGCACCUUCGGGUGUGAGUAAAGUGGCGCACGGGUGAGUAUCACGUGGGUAAUUUACCUUCCGGCGGGGGACAACACUCCGAAAGGGGUGCUAAUACCGCAUACGUCCGCUUCGGCGGGGAAAGAUGGCCUCUUCUUGAAAGCUAUCACCGGAUGAUGAGCCCGCGGCCCAUCAGCUUGUUGGUAGGGUAAUGGCCUACCAAGGCUACGACGGGUAGCUGGUCUGAGAGGAUGAUCAGCCACACUGGAACUGAGACACGGUCCAGACUCCUACGGGAGGCAGCAGUGGGGAAUAUUGCGCAAUGGGCGAAAGCUUGACGCAGCGACGCCGCGUGGGUGAUGAAGGAUUUCGGUUCGUAAAGCCCUGUGGGAGAGGGACGAACAACCCGAGGGAAUAAUACCUCGCGGGUCUGACGGUACCUCUCCAGAAAGCACCGGCUAACUCC